This 731-nucleotide long non-coding RNA is filed under the name Mus pahari (shrew mouse). RNAcentral describes it as "lncRNA (MGP_PahariEiJ_G0004990.1)". Lineage: Eukaryota; Metazoa; Chordata; Mammalia; Rodentia; Muridae. The record is from RNAcentral.
CUGGGAAAAGGGAACCUAUGUGACUGGGACUUGGUGUGGGGAGGAGAGCUGGUGGGAGCACCAGCUUGUGGCAGUCCAUAAGAGAGCCUGGGGUUCAGGUUUGGAACUAGUGGCCUUGAAGUAGCUCCCCAGGGGCCUCAGGUCUUAGCUCCAGACACAAGCCCAGUUUUCUGCUGUUGGUAAGAGCAGCCCUACAUGUGGUCUGAGAGCCUGUGUGUUUGGCAUGUCCCUGACUGGCGGUCAGGACGGUGGACCACUUGGCAGGGGCCAAGAGGAGACUGAGGGCAUAUAGUCUUAAGUUACCGGAUGACCUCAUGUAUUCCAAGAGGCAGUUGCAUGGACAGUCAAGUCCCCCAGGUGGGUCUCAGGAUCUAGAGUUGCAUAGGAUACAAGGAUCUGGGCACAUCUGUGAAGACAUUUUUGGAUUGGGCUGAGGUAGGAAGACUCAUCCUGAAUGUGGCGGCACCAUCCCCUAGGCUGGAGUCUUGGACCGAAUCAAAAGGAGAAAGUAAGCUGUGUACCAGCACUCACCUUUACUAUUUCCUAACUGCAGAUGCAGAGUUCCUCCAGCUCCUGUUACCGAGCCUUACCUACAAUGGUAGGUUGACUCAAGUUAUGAACUCAGAUAAUCCCUUCCUUCUGCGAGUUGCUUUUGUCAGGUAUUACAGCAGUAAGAGAAGUAAUUUGUAUGAAAACUAGUUCACCUUUCUUGAUAAAAGAAAUCCCCAAAC